GGCGGCGUAGCUCAGUCGGUUAGAGCGCUGCACUCAUAAUGCAGAGGUCGGUGGUUCGAGCCCACCCGCCGCUACCU
Molecule: transfer RNA, 77 nt
Filed under: Actinomycetes bacterium
Lineage: Bacteria; Bacillati; Actinomycetota; Actinomycetes
Description: Actinobacteria bacterium tRNA-Met
Rfam family: tRNA
About the family: Transfer RNA (tRNA) molecules are approximately 80 nucleotides in length. Their secondary structure includes four short double-helical elements and three loops (D, anti-codon, and T loops). Further hydrogen bonds mediate the characteristic L-shaped molecular structure. tRNAs have two regions of fundamental functional importance: the anti-codon, which is responsible for specific mRNA codon recognition, and the 3' end, to which the tRNAs corresponding amino acid is attached (by aminoacyl-tRNA synthetases). tRNAs cope with the degeneracy of the genetic code in two manners: having more than one tRNA (with a specific anti-codon) for a particular amino acid; and 'wobble' base-pairing, i.e. permitting non-standard base-pairing at the 3rd anti-codon position.
Source: RNAcentral